Molecule: ribosomal RNA, 751 nt
Filed under: uncultured Laccaria
Lineage: Eukaryota; Fungi; Basidiomycota; Agaricomycetes; Agaricales; Tricholomataceae
Description: eukaryotic LSU rRNA
Rfam family: 5.8S ribosomal RNA (bases 198-351)
Source: RNAcentral
CGUUAAUUAGUACUCUGAGUGGCUGUUAGCUGGCUUGAGAGCAUGUGCUCGUCCAUCAUCUUUAUAUUCUCCACCUGUGCACAUUUUGUAGACUUGGAUAAUGGCUCUGUCAUUUACAAGACUAUGUUUUCAAUAUACCCAAAGCAUGUUUAAAGAAUGUCAUCAAUAGGAACUUGGUUUCCUAUUAGAAACUAUACAACUUUCAGCAACGGAUCUCUUGGCUCUCGCAUCGAUGAAGAACGCAGCGAAAUGCGUUAAGUAAUGUGAAUUGCAGAAUUCAGUGAAUCAUCGAAUCUUUGAACGCACCUUGCGCUCCUUGGUAUUCCGAGGAGCAUGCCUGUUUGAGUGUCAUUAAAUUCUCAACCUUUCCAUUAAUUUAAUUUGGUUUGGAUGGGAUGUGGGGGUUGCACGUUUCAUUAGAAUAUGAGGUCUCCUCUCCUGAAAUGCAGUAACGGAACUUGUGCUGACCUUGUAUUGAUGUCAUAUCUAUCUGCGCUGGGGAUGCGAAGCACAGCUCCUCUUCUACCCGUAUAGAAUUGACUUGACUUGACCAUCUGACCUCAAGUCAGACAAGACUACCCGCUGAACUUUAUCAUAUCACUAAGGGGAGGAAACUAACCUAGCAACGACUACCCUAUGAACUGGAAGCGAAACGAGAACAGCUCAAAUAUCAGAUCUGCUAUGCUUGGCCUAGCCGAAUUCUAAACUAGAAAAAUCUUAUCCGCACUGGACAGAGGUCAACCUGGCCUGG